Molecule: long non-coding RNA, 1559 nt
Organism: Hippoglossus stenolepis (Pacific halibut)
Lineage: Eukaryota; Metazoa; Chordata; Actinopteri; Pleuronectiformes; Pleuronectidae
Exons: 2
Source: RefSeq, a predicted model, not a curated record
ACAGUGCGAUCUAAUAGAAUUACAUGAGACAGUCUUAUGGUGAAAUAGAUCGCCACCUUAGUCCUCUGCAGGCACGGGCUAACUAUUUUAAUCCCAUUGACGCAGUAGGAGACCAGGCUAGUUAAAGGGAUUAGAUUAGCAGCCAGGGGAGGUUAUAAAUGGACGUUAAGGUACGGAUCAGGAGAGGACUCAGACAGGACGUAACCGAUCAAGUCCUGCAACGUGUUGGUGAGGACAGAGAGAUCCAGAUACCUAACGCAGAGGCUGUAGCAGUCAUACCGAAGAGCCGACGCCUGACCCAUCGAAACAGAUUCAAAAAUUUUGUCUUCAGUUUUCUGCCAUCCAAGUGUAAUCCAUAAGCAUGGAGCCUAUGGUGACUAGCUCCACAGCCUUCGACAGAGAGACUUUCACCAGGAAAGCUGUGCGACCACCCAGAGGAGCCUCGUCUCAUUUUGUGGGGAGCUCGAUCAUAAUCCUGUCCUCGUUCGCAGUCUCCAGUUUAGCUAUGAACUUUGGGAAGCGGAUCCAGGAGUCCAGACACAAACCCAACGGGAACUAGCAACAGUCGACAGAUGGAUAUCCCUUAAUAUCUUUUUAGUUAACCUCCUUCAAGACAUCAAGUCAAUGUAGAAUUUAUUUUAACGAUGAUGUGAUGGACACCCCUUCAAAGUCUGGAGAAAAAAACCUGGAGUCAGAAGAGGAUGAAGCUCUCUUGGAAUGAAGGAGAGAUCAACAACAGAAGAACAACACUGCCUGCUGGGAUUUCUAAGACGAGCAUUUGGAAAACACCUCGAGAUUGAUCGAUGCGACGCCAAGCUCACUCUCUUGGAUUAAAACAGAUUACAAUUGUUGUUUAGAGAGGGGAGGAAGAUGCAGUAAUACCAUUAAACCUUUUGUCUCGUACUUCUAUCAGUAGUCUCAACAUGUAAAUGAUAGAAUAGAGAAAGUUGUAGGCUCACUGAUGGUGACACUUGUCAUUUAUGGCCAUUAUAUGUCAAAGGUGGUAGAACGAGUUGUAAUAUCAGUACAUAAGUAUUUGAAUAAAAUCAAACCUUCUUUAAGAAAAGUUUCCUCAGUUUUCUUACAAUUGAAUUUCUGUACUAAAUUAAUAUCAACUGAAAUACAACCAUCAAAAACCAUUGAAUACCAAAAGAAGCAUUUAGUGUGAAAAUCUUACUCAUUUUUGGUUUGACACUUGAUUAAAUAGUAUAUUUCAUUUGACCAAUAUUAUAUCCAUAAGACUGCUUGUGACAUUUAAGAACUUAAGCCCCCUCCUUUAAAAGAAAAAGAUUUGUAGAAAUUACUGUAAAUACCCCUGUAAAAGUAUUUAUUUGGUAUUGGUACUGAAACUCAAGUUUAACACUAUAACUGACCUACAAUCCACAAUAAACAUAAGUUACAGUGUAAGUGCAGUACUUUAAGUUAAAAAAUAGGUCAUUUAUAAAGAGAAACUAUUUCCAUGUUUGAAAUCCAUAUUACGUAUUAACAGGUUUUCGGUAUACACAAUGGGAAACACCAUAACAUUUUAUAAACACAAUAAACACUUUUUUGAGUCAAUA